RNAcentral lists this ribosomal RNA (593 nucleotides) under Mesopenaeus tropicalis. RNAcentral's name for it is "partial 16S ribosomal RNA". It matches the Rfam family "Bacterial large subunit ribosomal RNA", at positions 1794 to 2648 of the family's 2925-position model. Lineage: Eukaryota; Metazoa; Arthropoda; Malacostraca; Decapoda; Solenoceridae. The record is from RNAcentral.
UUUCCCCUNUUUAUCAAAANCAUGUCUGUAUGGKGGUGUUAKWUASWRUCUACAUGCCCACUGAUUUAUUAAAGGGCCGCGGUAUUUUGACCGUGCGAAGGUAGCAUAAUCAUUAGUCUUUUAAUUGGAGGCUUGUAUGAAUGGUUGGACAAAAAGUUAGCUGUCUCAUUUAUAUAAAAUUGAAUUUAACUUUUAAGUGAAAAGGCUUAAAUGUAUUGAGGGGACGAUAAGACCCUAUAAAGCUUUACAAUAAAAUUAUUAAAUUAUAAAUUGUUAGUCUAACUUAGUUUAAUAAUUGUUUGUUUCGUUGGGGCGACGAGAAUAUAAUAAUAUAACUGUUCUUUUAAAAAUUAUUUAACAGAUUUAAUUGGAUUAUAAUUGAUCCUUUAAUAAAGAUUAAAAGAUUAAGUUACUUUAGGGAUAACAGCGUAAUCUUCUUUGAGAGUCCAUAUCGACAAGAAGGGUUGCGACCUCGAUGUUGAAUUAAGGUAUCCUUGUGGUGUAGCAGUUACAAAGGAAGGUCUGUUCGACCUUUAAAUCCUUACAUGAUUUGAGUUCAGACCGGCGUGAGCCAGGUUGGGUUUCUAUCUAAA